This 253-nucleotide ribosomal RNA is filed under the name uncultured prokaryote. RNAcentral describes it as "partial 16S ribosomal RNA". It matches the Rfam family "Bacterial small subunit ribosomal RNA", at positions 525 to 777 of the family's 1533-position model. The record is from RNAcentral.
ACAGAGGUCUCAAGCGUUGUUCGGAUUCAUUGGGCGUAAAGGGUGCGUAGGUGGCGGGGCAAGUCUGGUGUGAAAUCCCGGGGCUCAACCCCGGAACUGCACUGGAUACUGCCUUGCUAGAGUACUGGAGAGGGAACUGGAAUUUACGGUGUAGCAGUGAAAUGCGUAGAGAUGCGGCGGAACACCGAUGGCGAAGGCAGCCCCCUGGGCUGAGAUUGACGCUCAGGCACGAAAGCGUGGGGAGCAAACGGGA